ACUCCUACGGGAGGCAGCAGUAAGGAAUAUUGCGCAAUGGACGAAAGUCUGACGCAGCGACGCCGCGUGGGGGAUGAAGGUCUUCGGAUUGUAAACCCCUUUCGGCAGGGAAGAUGGAACGGGCAACCGUUCGGACGGUACCUGCAGAAGCAGCCACGGCUAACUUCGUGCCAGCAGCCGCGGUAAUACGAAGGUGACAAGCGUUGUUCGGAUUUACUGGGCGUACAGGGAGCGUAGGCGGUUGGGUAAGCCCUCCGUGAAAUCUCCGGGCCUAACCCGGAAAGUGCGGAGGGGACUGCUCGGCUAGAGGAUGGGAGAGGAGCGCGGAAUUCCCG
Molecule: ribosomal RNA, 335 nt
Filed under: uncultured bacterium
Lineage: Bacteria
Description: bacterial SSU rRNA
Rfam family: Bacterial small subunit ribosomal RNA
Source: RNAcentral